This 389-nucleotide ribosomal RNA is filed under the name uncultured bacterium. Its description in RNAcentral is "bacterial SSU rRNA". It matches the Rfam family "Bacterial small subunit ribosomal RNA", at positions 29 to 416 of the family's 1533-position model. The record is from RNAcentral.
AUUGAACGCUGGCGGCAUGCCUUACACAUGCAAGUCGAACGGCAGCACGGGAGCAAUCCUGGUGGCGAGUGGCGAACGGGUGAGUAAUAUAUCGGAACGUGCCCAGUCGUGGGGGAUAACGUAGCGAAAGCUACGCUAAUACCGCAUACGAUCUAUGGAUGAAAGCGGGGGGAUCGCAAGACCUCGCGCGAUUGGAGCGGCCGAUAUCAGAUUAGGUAGUUGGUGAGGUAAAGGCUCGCCAAGCCGACGAUCUGUAGCUGGUCUGAGAGGACGACCAGCCACACUGGGACUGAGACACGGCCCAGACUCCUACGGGAGGCAGCAGUGGGGAAUUUUUGGGACAAUGGGCGCAAGCCUGAUCCAGCAAUGCCGCGUGCAGGAUGAAGGCC